CCGGCGGAGGCGACGGCGGCCUUCUCUCCCCCACCUCACGCUGUGAUUUUUGUGUGAUAAAGUAGUUUUGUCUGACAUGCUUCUGACGAGGCGACCGUGGCUCGCAGAGGGGACGGAGAGCUUGGUAGAGACGCAAGUCAGUCCUAGCUGGACGAGAAUCUCCGACGUGGCCGCAUAGAGCUACUCGACAGUUCACUGCAUAGUG
This 205-nucleotide long non-coding RNA is filed under the name Oryza brachyantha (malo sina). Its description in RNAcentral is "long non-coding RNA (OBRA_LNC002106)". The record is from RNAcentral. Lineage: Eukaryota; Viridiplantae; Streptophyta; Magnoliopsida; Poales; Poaceae.